Molecule: ribosomal RNA, 492 nt
Filed under: uncultured bacterium
Lineage: Bacteria
Description: partial 16S ribosomal RNA
Rfam family: Bacterial small subunit ribosomal RNA
Source: RNAcentral
AGUGAACGCUGGCGGUAGGCCUAACACAUGCAAGUCGAACGGCAGCACAGUAAGAGCUUGCUCUUACGGGUGGCGAGUGGCGGACGGGUGAGGAAUACAUCGGAAUCUACUUUUUCGUGGGGGAUAACGUAGGGAAACUUACGCUAACACCGCAUACGACCUACGGGUGAAAGCAGGGGAUCUUCGGACCUUGCGCGAUUGAAUGAGCCGAUGUCGGAUUAGCUAGUUGGCGGGGUAAAGGCACACCAAGGCGACGAUCCGUAGCUGGUCUGAGAGGAUGAUCAGCCACACUGGAACUGAGACACGGUCCAGACUCCUACGGGAGGCAGCAGUGGGGAAUAUUGGACAAUGGGCGCAAGCCUGAUCCAGCCAUACCGCGUGGGUGAAGAAGGCCUUCGGGUUGUAAAGCCCUUUUGUUGGGAAAGAAAAGCAGCAGGUUAAUACCCCGCUGUUCUGACGGUACCCAAAGAAUAAGCACCGGCUAACUUCGUG